UGAGGGCGUUAACGCCCGACCUCCAACCCUUGUGAAACCAACCUCUGUUGCCUCGGGGGCGACCCGGCCCUUCGGGUGUCGGGGCCCUCGGUGGACCACACUUCAACUCUGCGUCUUUGCGUCUGAGUCUUAUGAUAAAUCAAUCAAAACUUUUAACAACGGAUCUCUUGGUUCUGGCAUCGAUGAAGAACGCAGCGAAAUGCGAUAAGUAGUGUGAAUUGCAGAAUUCAGUGAAUCAUCGAAUCUUUGAACGCACAUUGCGCCCCUUGGUAUUCCAUGGGGCAUGCCUGUUCGAGCGUCAUUUGUACCCUCAAGCUCUGCUUGGUGUUGGGUGUUUGUCCUCUCCUCUGCGUUUGGACUCGCCUCAAAGCAAUUGGCAGCCAGUGUUUUGGUAUUGAAGCGCAGCACAUUUUGCGAUUCUGGCCUAUAAUACUUGCGUCCAUAAGCCUAUUUUCAACUUUUGACCUCGGAUCAGGUAGGGAUACCCGCUGAACUUAAGCAUAUCAAUAAGCGGAGGAAAAGAAACCAACAGGGAUUGCCCCAGUAACG
RNAcentral lists this ribosomal RNA (549 nucleotides) under uncultured fungus. RNAcentral's name for it is "eukaryotic LSU rRNA". The stretch from base 148 to 301 matches the Rfam family "5.8S ribosomal RNA". The record is from RNAcentral. Lineage: Eukaryota; Fungi.